CGGCUGGCCAAUGGCAAGUAUCGGAAGAGUGAAAGUAUAAAUGUGAAAGAAAGGAAAAAGAUUAAACAACACUUACCUGUUUGCGACACCCUUAUCACCUAUAUGAAGGAUCUCACUAUUCUAUCUUGUGGAAGAAACUACAGACAUUUCCACAAACUGUAAGAGAGGAACAGCCUUAAGACAGAAUUCCUACGGCUUUGAAGAUGCAACUAAAAACCUUUUUUAAAGCAGCAAUUAAGCUGAUUUCCAAGAAAAAUGCCAUCACCUCUGUUCCAUUGAGCUUUAUGUUGUUGGGUUUGCAGGCGUUGCUUGAUGUCCAGUUCUCAUGCCCAUGCAAAGUUAAGUGGAAUGCACUUAUAUCAGGUUUCCUCUUCAUUGUACCCAGUCUCUUUGCUUUCGUCAUAAUGUUCAUGCUUUUGAGGCCUUGUAAAUAUAAAUGCAGCCAUUCUCAAAGAAAGAACAGUGGUGGAAGAACGCAAGGUCAGGACAACAAUGAAGCCUCGCAGGAAGAAGACAAAAGUGGACAAUCUCAAGAACAGAACAAAAGUGCAAUAUAUCAGUCUGAAGAAACGAGGCAGAGUUUUGAGACCGUUUUGAUGGCUUGUCUGAUUCCACCGAUUGUGUGGAUCUGUAUAUUUCUAAUUGAUGGUGAUUAUGUUGCAUGUGGAUUCACAGACUGGAAUGGACGGUAUGCCUGUGAUAAGGACCUGCAUCCGAUUUGUUUGAACUGGUGCAAACCUACUGAAUUAAACCAAGGAGGAAAUGAGACCGAACUAUAUGAACAAACACGAGAGUUGAUUGAUCAAUCAAAGUGUAUAGGUUAUAGCCUGGCAUUUGUCUUCUGCAUUAUAGCAAUUAUUAUUGUGACUGCUAACGACUGCAACAAAGGUCGCAAUUCAGCCUGCUGCAGAAGUGCAGAUCCAGAAAAUAAAGUUGAGGAACGGACUGAUCUGUUGGCAGACUUAUGCAAGAAACAAAGUGUGCAACAUGAGAUGGGCAAGCUUCAAGAUGACGCCUCGCGACACAGACAUCCAAGUCAAGUUCUAGAAAUAGAAGAAAAAGUUUAAUAGAUCAAUUCCAGAUCAUAUGCUGUGUUUACAUUCUAUAUAUAUUCUAUUUCCGAAAGUGCACGUAUUUUCUCAUUUACAUUUCAUUUGUUUUAUUCUGCUAUUAGUAAUUGGAUUUGCUUCAAAUUAAAUGUAAUGUUUAUGACUUAAUGCAAUAUCAUUAGUAUUGUAGUAAUGUUUUAUUCUGUAAGUUUACAUAACGUGCCUUUGAAUUACAGUGUAAAGACACAGCUUUCUUUAAAAGCAACAAAUCACACCGAAAUACUACAAUCCACAAUAGUACAUUUUCAAAGAUUUCCAGGUAUUAUGCAUGCAUCUCUUCCUUGUAUGUGUUGUGUGAUACUAGAAUGUGUGUGUUUCUAGAAUAACUUUAUUAUCUUGUUUGUAUCAUUCCAUACUGAGCAGGAAAUCAUCCAGUCAUGUUUGACUGGUUUGUGGCUUAACUUAGUUGAUGAAUCAAAGUACAGAUCCUGUCUUUAGCUGUUAUAGGUGUGAUUUGCAAGUUAAUAAAGUAAGGGAAUUGUUAUGGAUGUGUUGAUGUUGUCC
Long non-coding RNA from Sinocyclocheilus grahami, 1613 nucleotides. The record is from Ensembl. NCBI's taxonomy places the organism in Eukaryota, Metazoa, Chordata, Actinopteri, Cypriniformes, Cyprinidae.